AUUUGAUUUUCAAUCCAUAAGGAAUCAUAGAAAAAUUGGUCUGAACUUACCUCCAAACCAUCCCAGAUUCUGUAAUGAGGAGUACCCAAAUUGCAUCCAUGCUUAAAUUCGCAUCGUCAAAAGUCGAAUAACAGAGCUUUUGUUUAUUUUUUCAAAUAUUUUGAACAAUUGGAUAUUUGUCCAUGCUUACUCUUCAUUUUUUAAGAAAUGGAUACUUGAAAC
Molecule: long non-coding RNA, 222 nt
Filed under: Mytilus galloprovincialis (Mediterranean mussel)
Lineage: Eukaryota; Metazoa; Mollusca; Bivalvia; Mytilida; Mytilidae
Source: RNAcentral